RNAcentral lists this long non-coding RNA (777 nucleotides) under Lathyrus oleraceus (garden pea). RNAcentral's name for it is "Pisum sativum (pea) long non-coding RNA (PSAT_LNC031920)". Lineage: Eukaryota; Viridiplantae; Streptophyta; Magnoliopsida; Fabales; Fabaceae. The record is from RNAcentral.
UUCAUGUUAGUGUUCACAGAUAUAAACCGUGUCUAUAGAGUAGUCUAUGAUGAUGGUGUAGGAAUAACAAUAAUAUAAAAUAAAUUAAGAAUUUGUAUUAAUUUAUUCAAAGAAGUUUGUUAUUGAUUCAAAUUUCUAUCGGGGAGGUUAGCAAAACUUAUAGGAACCUAAAUAGUGUCAUUUAGAUGAUAGAUAGAACCUAAACAGUUGUCAUUUAGAUCAUAGAUAGAACCUAAACAGUUGUCAAAUGGGUCUAUAAUACUAUUAGAGGGAGCCAAGAUUAUAGGAGUCAAAUGGGUCUAUAAGACUAAAUUGAGAAGCAACAUGACAUGGUUCUAUAGGAUGUCACACCUUAUCAUGACAUCAGACGUUCUUGGAAGACCACCUAGGCCAGUUGACCUGAAGGUACUUGAGGCUCAGGAAGACCACACCGAGGAUGUGACGGCGGUAUGUCGGUGUGUUGUGGAGAUGUGUAGAACAGACAUAAAGGCAGGACUUUUUAAGGUUGAUAGUCUCCAGUUGGCCCUUGUGUAGAACAUGAUUGCCGAGUUACAGAAUAUCGUGCCCUUGUGUAGAACAUGAUUGCCGAGUUACAGAAUAUCGUGCAGUAUAGGCGAAAGAGAGCGUGAAAGGGUAGACAUAUCCAGUAGGUUAGGUUUGGAUGUAUUUCUUUUUGUAUUUUCGGAUAAAUGUUAUGUAUGAUCUUUACUUUUAAUUAAUGUAUGACUAUUUAACUUUCAUUUGAGUUUAAUAUUAUUUGAGUUUACUUUAAAAUAA